Molecule: ribosomal RNA, 307 nt
Filed under: uncultured bacterium
Lineage: Bacteria
Description: partial 16S ribosomal RNA
Rfam family: Bacterial small subunit ribosomal RNA
Source: RNAcentral
GAGCAGCAACAGCCGCGGUAAGACGGAGGGUGCUAGCGUUGUUCGGAAUCACUGGGCGUAAAGGGCGCGUAGGCGGCCUGUUAAGUCGGAUGUGAAAGCCCGGGGCUCAACCCCGGAACUGCAUCCGAGACUGGCAGGCUUGAGACCGGGAGAGGAGGGUGGAAUAUCCAGUGUAGAGGUGAAAUUCGUAGAUAUUGGAUGGAACACCGGUGGCGAAAGCGGCUCUCUGGCCCGGAUCUGACGCUGAGGCGCGAAAGCGUGGGGAGCAAACAGGAUUAGAUACCCCUGUAGUCCCUGUCUCUUAUAC